Long non-coding RNA from Calidris pugnax (ruff), 1047 nucleotides. RefSeq lists it as uncharacterized. The record is from RefSeq and is a predicted model, not a curated record. The transcript has 4 exons. NCBI's taxonomy places the organism in Eukaryota, Metazoa, Chordata, Aves, Charadriiformes, Scolopacidae.
AGUAAGCAGUUUUUAUUCUUUUUCUUGUUCAAUUUGUGGGAUUGCCUGAAGGGAGAUCACAGUUUCCUCACAAUUACUUUGUGUUUUGUUUACUCCCUGACCUGACUGGGAAUGUCCAAAAUUUGUCCUGCGGCAUUGAGCUGUGACCAGUUGUCGAAGUCACAUGGAAGACGUGAUGGGUUGAUCCUGCAAGGCAAAGUGACCGGGAUUUGAGGGGAGAAGAGGCAUUUCUAGAUCGGGAUCUACUCCUUUCCUCCGCGCCCUGGUGGAAUGCAGAGCUAGAGGGAGCCUGCAGAAUGCAGGCAGCAUCUAGUGAUGGGAAUAACACAAGGACCAGCCUUGCGAGGCAUUUGAUCUCACAGGAAGAGCGCCCCUGGGAGCUGACAGAAUUCAAACCCCAGGUGAUGCCUUUGCUCAGUUUCAAAGCCAAGACGCAAACCUGAUCCCGCAGCUCAUCCGGAGGUGAAAGUCCAUGGCAGUGCAACACUUGACGAUUCCCCCUGUAGGACAGAUUUGCUUUGAUUCCGCUGCGCUUGCUUUGGUGACAUUUUCCGGAGGCGUUCUUCUCCGCGCCGGCUGAAUUCACCUCCCUCCACACAACAACGCUCCUCAAGUCACUUAUCCCCCAACUCAGCGUCUUGGUAGCAGGUCCCAUUGGAAAAGCCAACGAACUCCUUUGAAGAACUCAUUGAAUAAAUUAACAACUUGGAAAGCUGCCUGCCGUUUUUGUUGGCUUUGGGUUUCAGGGAGUUGCUUGGUAAACAAAAGUCAAUGGAUUCAAACAGUAACAAAGUAAUUUAAAUGAUUAAUCAAGUGCUAAAACUAGCUUAACCUCUCCUGUUUUACAAACUCUAUAUCACCCUCACUAAACUAAUAGAGGAAUAAGACACCCGUCUGGAAAUCUCAUCUGAAAUAUUAGAUUGAGAAUCAAAAAUUCAGCCAAGCAGUGUGGUUUGUAGGGAUAUCCUGGCGGAUAAUAAAUUGCAUUAAUCUUACUUAAAUUUUCCAUCUAAAUCAUGUCCUGAGACCAUAUUGCACUGAAGGGAA